Python bivittatus (Burmese python) is the source of this 1918-nucleotide non-coding RNA. NCBI's taxonomy places the organism in Eukaryota, Metazoa, Chordata, Lepidosauria, Squamata, Pythonidae. The record is from RefSeq and is a predicted model, not a curated record.
GAAUUGUUGUAUUGGAUAGGCCAGAAUUGGCUGUCUUUGCACUAAGGCUUAAUGGCUAAGUCUUAAACCCUAGUUUAUAAACCACAAUGGAUCGGAUCACACAAUGCACUAACGCAACUCCACCAGCCUUAUCACCCGGUGAGCAUACGGCGGCUUUAUGCAUGUUUGCAGCUGCCGGGCAAGAUGAGAGAAGGCGGAUGGUGUUUGGACAGGAGCGAGAAAACAAAGCAAGUUCCUUGUGAAUGCAGACAGUCAGGACAUAAACAGAUGCAUUCUUCCACUCCCCAUGUUGACUCUAACUCCCCUCUGGCCAGUCCUUCCUGCCAGGAAUCCGCCCCAGGCGACAACAAGCGUUUUCCGGAUCAAUGCGUCCUUGUUUCCCCACAGGAUGUCCUGCCACCUCCAUUGUUCUCAGCCCCCCCUACCGCCAGCAGAUGGAUGGGGGGGCUGCCUCCGUGGAUGCACGGGGCCAGUCUCCGGGCAGCCUAGAAUCCAGGAACGGGGUGGAGAUCAUGCAAAAGGAACCAGGAAGAAGGCAAAGAUGGUGCGAUUCCACAGGCUGUUGGGGCCCCGAGAAGCUUCCUGUCCACUGCUGUUUGCAUUUGGAUCGUGCCCACUUGCUUCUUUUCAUGCCCAUGGAGUCCUGGUGCUCGCCGAGUGCCAAAAUAAAACUGCAAUGAAACAAGCAGGGGAUGGAAACGCAACGCCUUGAAAACCGGCCAAACCACACCACCCCAUUGCAGCCUUGGAUUGAGGCCGGGAUGUGCAGCCAGGUGGGAGAGAAUUGCCAACCGCUCGUCUCAGAUGUAAACUCGCAGCCCCGAGAAGCUUGCUUGUCCUUUUUUAAGUGUUUCUGCCCAACACGCGCACACCUGCGGUCUUCAAGUGAUGACAAAGGGAAGGAAUCAGGAGGAGCCGCAAACCAGCUGUUUCGAAAGAAGGAAGAGAGGUCUAGCUAAGCCGGGGGAAGAAUUUCUGGCAACGCCCACUGGAAUGGUGACACCAGCUGCCUUGGGAAGUGGGCACUCUUCUCUGUUAGUCUGUAAGCUGGGGGAUGCUAGGUUUUAGGUUUCCUAUAUAGCUAGGGGUCAGACUGGAUGACCUUUGGGGACCUUUGCAUCGCUGGGUUUCCGCAGCAACAACCCAAAGGGCAGGAACGGCACCUGGAAGGGCAAGGAUCCUCACAUGUAGGGCACACAGCAGGCAGAGUUUGGGGUGUUCAGAGACGUCAAACCUCAACGCUACAGCUGCUUUGCAGGCUGAGCCAACACCAUUCUUUGUCCUUUGCAAGUGUGCGAGGAUGAGCCUGAAACAACCUGGCAGAAAUUAAACUCUUUGAAAUCUGCCUAAGAGAGGGAGCAUCACACCUCUGGUGGCAAUGAGGGCCACCCAUGACUGGCUUCCUUUCCAGCUGUCCUGCAAUUCUAUUAAACCCAAGUUCUGCAUUCUUACGGGGCCUUCAUUGUUUACUUAUGAUUCCCUGAAGUCAUGUGGAUACCCUUCGGGUUGCGAGUUUAAGAAUGGGGCACUCGCCUUCGUUAGUCUAUAAGCCAGGGGUUGCUAGGUGUUAAGUUACCCGUAUUGGGUGGGGGGCUGCCAGGCAUCAGGGUGGGGACCACCCGUUCCCAGCCUGAUGCUCCUGCUGGUCAGGCUGGAGCACGACCCAACACAACUGAGAGGGGUCAGCUUGGCCUGUAUCAUGGGGUCUCCCAGGUGGAACCUUCUGGGCUUGGACUGCAAUUUGCUCCCCCAUCUGGCCUUAGCUAGGUGGGAUUUGCUGCAACACCUAGAUUUCCCAGGCUCAUGCAAGCAAAGGAAAGCAUUUUUCUGAGGCACGUAGGAAAGAUGCUGUGAGAUCACUGACAGACCUCAUCACUUAGGUUAGUGUUUCUUAAGGUCCUAGGAGGUGGUCGUUAAG